RNAcentral lists this ribosomal RNA (494 nucleotides) under uncultured bacterium. Its description in RNAcentral is "partial 16S ribosomal RNA". It matches the Rfam family "Bacterial small subunit ribosomal RNA", at positions 28 to 507 of the family's 1533-position model. The record is from RNAcentral.
GACGAACGCUGGCGGCGUGCUUAACACAUGCAAGUCGAACGGUGAAGCGCCUUCCUUUUUGGUGGGUGUGGAUGAGUGGCGAACGGGUGAGUAACACGUGAGUAACCUGCCCCCUUCUUCUGGAUAACCGCAUGAAAGUGUGGCUAAUACGGGAUAUUCUGGGUCUGUCGCAUGAUGGGUCUGGGAAAGAUAUUGUUUCGGUGGGGGAUGGGCUCGCGGCCUAUCAGCUUGUUGGUGGGGUGAUGGCCUACCAAGGCGGUGACGGGUAGCCGGCCUGAGAGGGUGGACGGUCACACUGGGACUGCGACACGGCCCAGACUCCUACGAGAGGCAGCAGUGGGGAAUAUUGCACAAUGGGCGCAAGCCUGAUGCAGCGACGCCGCGUGAGGGAUGGAGGCCUUCGGGUUGUGAACCUCUUUCGCCAGUGAAGCAGGCCUGCCUCGUUUGUGGGUGGGUUGACGGUAGCUGGAUAAGAAGCGCCGGCUAACUACGUG